Small nuclear RNA from Gorilla gorilla gorilla (western lowland gorilla), 107 nucleotides. The record is from Rfam. Lineage: Eukaryota; Metazoa; Chordata; Mammalia; Primates; Hominidae.
GUGCUUGCCUCAGCAGCGCAAAUACUAAAAUUGGAAUGAUACAGAGAAGAUUCGCGUGUCCCCUGUGCAAGGAUGACAUGCAGAUUCGUGAAACGUUCUGUUUUUUC